RNAcentral lists this small nucleolar RNA (119 nucleotides) under Sorex araneus (European shrew). Its description in RNAcentral is "Small nucleolar RNA SNORA27 (ENSSARG00000016474.1)". It matches the Rfam family "Small nucleolar RNA SNORA27". Rfam says of the family: ACA27 is a member of the H/ACA class of snoRNA that guide the sites of modification of uridines to pseudouridines. Lineage: Eukaryota; Metazoa; Chordata; Mammalia; Eulipotyphla; Soricidae. The record is from RNAcentral.
UGUCCCCUACUUCCUUUGCCAAUUCGACUUAUGUCUUAAUUGGUCACUCAAGUGGGGCGAACGAAGUGUUCUUUUAAAAUUCAAGCAAACUGUCUUGAAUCCUCUCAGGGGAAAAAUAU